Molecule: ribosomal RNA, 523 nt
Filed under: uncultured bacterium
Lineage: Bacteria
Description: bacterial LSU rRNA
Rfam family: Bacterial large subunit ribosomal RNA
Source: RNAcentral
CAGCCGGAGCCGUAGGGAAACCGAGUCUGAUAAGGGCGACAACAGUGGCAGGCGGUAGACCCGAAACGAGGUGAGCUACCCAUGACCAGAGUGAAGCGAGAGUAACAUCUCGUGGAGGCUCGAACCCAUUAGUGCUGCAAAACUAUGGGAUGAGUUGUGGGUAGAGGUGAUAUGCCAAUCGAACUUCGAGAUAGCUGGUUCUCCCCGAAUAACUUUAGGGUUAGCCUCGAUUGUUUAGUGACAGAGGUAAAGCACUGAAUGGGCUAGGGGGCGUAAGCCUACCAAACCCAAUCAAACUCUGAAUGCUGUCACUCCAAGAUCGGGAGUCGGGCUACGAGUUAUGAGAUCCGUGGCCGAGAGGGUAACAACCCAGACCGACAUCUAAGGUCCUCAAGUGUGUGCUAAGUGGGAAACGAUGUGAAACUGUUCAGACAGCGAGGAGGUUGGCUUAGAAGCAGCCAUCCUUUAAACAGUGCGUAAUAGCUGACUCGUCGAACGGUUUUUGCGCGGAAAAUUCAACGGG